RNAcentral lists this microRNA precursor (74 nucleotides) under Dasypus novemcinctus (nine-banded armadillo). RNAcentral's name for it is "miRNA (ENSDNOG00000046182.1)". The record is from RNAcentral. Lineage: Eukaryota; Metazoa; Chordata; Mammalia; Cingulata; Dasypodidae.
GGCAUCUUGUUGAAAUGCAGAUUUUGAUUCAGUAGGUGUGGGUAAGACUGAGUUUCUGCAUUUUUGACAAGUUC